Molecule: ribosomal RNA, 372 nt
Filed under: uncultured organism
Description: bacterial SSU rRNA
Rfam family: Bacterial small subunit ribosomal RNA
Source: RNAcentral
CAGAGGUCCCAAGCGUUGUUCGGAUUCACUGGGCGUAAAGGGUGCGUAGGCGGUCGGAUAAGUCUGAUGUGAAAUCUUCGAGCUCAACUCGGAAACUGCAUCGGAAACUAUUCGGCUAGAGGAUUGGAGGGGAGACUGGAAUUCUCGGUGUAGCAGUGAAAUGCGUAGAUAUCGAGAGGAACACCAGUGGCGAAGGCGAGUCUCUGGACAAUUCCUGACGCUGAGGCACGAAAACUAGGGGAGCAAACAGGAUUAGAUACCCUGGUAGUCCUAGCCCUAAACGGUGCACGUUUGCUGUAAGAGGAAUCGACCCCUUUUGUGGCGAAGCUAACGCGUUAAACGUGCCGCCUGGGAAGUACGGCCGCAAGGUUA